UAAAAUUGUAUUACAAAAAGAGCCAAAAGUUCUGUGUCUUUAUCAAGUAGUCAUGUUGGUUUAGAAAGUGGUCAAAUUCAAAAACAUGUGGGGUAAUUUGUUACAGUGUGUACCAAUGGUCCAAUUGGUACACAAUAAAGCCAAAAACAAUAUUUUUUUCUUCUUAAAGGUAAUAAAGUCAAUAGCAAACUAAUUUUGUCCAUUUUAAAUAAACUUUGCAAUCUCUCGCUCACUCUCCCGUGAUUUAAAACAAAAUAAAUGAGAAAGAAGAACAGAAGACGACCACAUUGUUUGUUUACUGACAUGUUUUAUUUUAUGAGAAAAAAAUGAAAUGAUAACAUUGGCUGAAUGGUAUUAAAAUUGUAUUACAAAAAGAGCAAAAAGUUCCGUGUCUUUAUCAAGUAGUCAUGUUGGUUUAGAAAGUGGUCAAAUUCAAAAACAUGUGGGGUAAUUUGUUACAGUGUGUACCAAUGGUCCAAAAUAUCAGCAAAAUACACUUUAAAUUAACUGAUUUAUUUUUUCCUUCAUGAUCCUUCAGUCAUAAAAAUUCCCCCAAAAUGCUCCCUUUUGUUUAAAAUUUUGAUCUACUACUGAAUAAUAAAAAUAAUACUAAUAAAUUACAGUGCAAUGUAUAAGAAAUACCUGCAGGGCUUUUUCUGCCCGUCACACUCGACUCUUCGCUCUUCGCCAGCUCCCACAAACACUCGCCUCGGAGUUUGGUGGACGUUUUUGGCACAAUCGAAACUUCCAGUGAGGAUUUGGUCAAGUCGAAAAACCUUCGGCUCGCACAAAACGACACUUUACUGCCGCUCGGUUUGUGAAUUUGCCUUCGUUUUUAAAAAUUUUUAUUUACCAUCACUCCGGGGGCCAAACUUGAAUAUAUUACAAUAAUUCUGAUUAUUUCAACAUAAAUAAUGUUGCUGCUGGACUCAAAAACCCACCAGCAACGGCUCACUUCAUGACCACCCCCAGAUUAGUUUUAAUUUACAUAAAUGGGGGAGAGCUUCAGCCAGAGUCCAGAUGUCGAUUCCAUGGAAAUCAAUCAAUUCCUCCCAAAUGACCUCCUCACAAUCAGCUGACUUUCUCUGUACAAUAACUUUAGUGGCUUUAACCCUCAUGUCGUCCUGCGGGUCAAAAUUGACCCGUUUUAAAGUUUGAAGAUGUGGAAAAAAUAUAUUUUCACAGUGAAACAUCUGAUGUCCACAUUUUCAACAUUUUUGGGAAAUUUUUGAAAAUUUUUG
Long non-coding RNA from Amphiprion ocellaris (clown anemonefish), 1241 nucleotides. The record is from Ensembl. NCBI's taxonomy places the organism in Eukaryota, Metazoa, Chordata, Actinopteri, Pomacentridae.